Oncorhynchus keta (chum salmon) is the source of this 924-nucleotide long non-coding RNA. RefSeq lists it as uncharacterized. Lineage: Eukaryota; Metazoa; Chordata; Actinopteri; Salmoniformes; Salmonidae. The transcript is spliced from 3 exons. The record is from RefSeq and is a predicted model, not a curated record.
UGAAAUGCUGAAUACAACAGGUGUAGUAGACCUUACAGUGAAAUGCUGAAUACAACAGGUGUAGUAGACCUUACAGUGAAAUGCUGAAUAAAACAGGUGUAGUAGACCUUACAGUGAAAUGCUGAAUACAACAGGUGUAGUAGACCUUACAGUGAAAUGCCGAAUACAACAGGUGUACUAGACCUUACAGUGAAAUGCUGAAUACAACAGGUGUAGUAGACCUUACAGUGAAAUGCUGAAUACAACAGGUGUAAUAGACCUCACAGUGAAAUGCUGAAUACAACAGGUGUAGUAGACCUUACAGUGAAAUGCUGAAUACAACAGGUGUAGUAGACCUUACAGUGAAAUGCUGAAUACAACAGGUGUAAUAGACCUCACAGUGAAAUGCUGAAUACAACAGGUGUAGUAGACCUUACAGUGAAAUGCUGAAUACAACAGGUGUAGUAGACCUUACAGUGAAAUGCUGAAUACAACAGGUGUAAUAGACCUCACAGUGAAAUGCUGAAUACAACAGGUGUAGUAGACCUUACAGUGAAAUGCUGAAUACAACAGGUGUAAUAGACCUCACAGUGAAAUGCUGAAUACAACAGGUGUAGUAGACCUUACAGUGAAAUGCUGAAUACAACAGGUGUAGUAGACCUUACAGUGAAAUGCUGAAUACAACAGGUGUAAUAGACCUCACAGUGAAAUGCUGAAUACAACAGGUGUAGUAGACCUUACAGUGAAAUGCUGAAUACAACAGGUGUAAUAGACCUCACAGUGAAAUGCUGAAUACAACAGGUGUAGUAGACCUUACAGUGAAAUGCUGAAUACAACAGGUGUAGUAGACCUUACAGUGAAAUGCUGAAUACAACAGGUGUAAUAGACCUCACAGUGAAAUGCUGAAUACAACAGGUGUAGUAGACCUUACAGUGAAAUGCUGAA